ACUAUUGGACUGUUCCUGUUACUAGGGAGAAGAAUCUAAUCCAUUCUAUUCAGGACAACUACUAUGCAGCCCUGGCGCAGGACAGGUUGAACAUUGGAUCUCACUACUCACUUAGCUCCAAUCUCCAACUAUGAAUGAUAUGAGAGAGAAAGUGGAUAGCUCGAUGGCAGGUGAAAAAAGGCUCGCUCUUAGAACUCAGAGUAACCUUCCUUGAAACACUGCCACCACUAAGCUGGUAAUAUGCGAUCAAUGAAGAAACAGAAAACAUUCUUCAAAAUACUCUUGGUGCAGGAAGAGUUAAGACAGGAAGUGGUGAAAAUAAAGGACCUACUGAGGCACAGGAAACACCAUAUUGGAAAGAGUCUACAGACAUUUCCUGGAUUCCUAGCAAGACUGAAAACUCAGAACAUUUGGAAAGCUAUGAUGGAUCACCUCUCGAAAAAUCUGGAAUGUCAGCUUCUGCAGAUAUGCACUGGAGCAGCACAUAUGGUAGCAGGGAAAGAAGAUUUAAACUUAGUUGGGACAAAAAUACUUUGGCUUUUCACUAACCUACAUUUAGACUUUCCUCUUUCUGCAGAAUCUGUUUCUUCUUAGACUUAAACAUAAUGCUACAUUCUGAUUACAACUGAU
Molecule: long non-coding RNA, 630 nt
Organism: Myodes glareolus (Bank vole)
Lineage: Eukaryota; Metazoa; Chordata; Mammalia; Rodentia; Cricetidae
Source: RefSeq, a predicted model, not a curated record